Molecule: long non-coding RNA, 1920 nt
Organism: Labeo rohita (rohu)
Lineage: Eukaryota; Metazoa; Chordata; Actinopteri; Cypriniformes; Cyprinidae
Exons: 13
Source: RefSeq, a predicted model, not a curated record
GUUAUGGCUGCGAUUAAACACCUGUUCAGCGUCACACCUUCCCACGGCGUCUCGAUCUGUGUCAGAUUCUGGAUGGACAGAGCUUUGCGUAACGUCGCUGCUGGACAGAUGAUAAAACACAGGCAAUUUGGGCAACAUACUGGCACUGGAGACCGGAUGUUCCCGUGGAAUCAUCUUCGGGACCUGCUGGACAAUUGGAGCUUCCUGUAGGACACAGAAGGUUUAUUAAUGGAACGGUUUCUGAGGAGGAGCUUCUUGCAGUGGUUUACCAAGUUCUUCUUCAAAUGUCUCAAAGGUGCUUUCGUCCAUAGCUCACCUGAGAAACAAGGUGAAAUCUGAAAGCUAGUGGCCACAUAAAUCUCUAAAGAAAUCCAGAUGUGUGCUGAAACUUCUCAAACAGCGGAGAGUCAGAAGCACAUCCAGCCACUGGACGUCACCUUUGACCCCAGUAACACUGUGCCUUACCUGCAUGGAGGUGAGCAGGAGACCCGAGGAGGAGCAGACGGAGAGGACGGCAGUGUGAGAGCACUUGAGCGUGUGAAGUGACAAUUUUGGAGGGAAUGCAGCAGCGCAAACAUCACUGUAAGAGAAACAGAAAGUGAUUGCUGAAAUAUAACAGGACAGGAUCUAAAUACCAAAGCCAGGUCUUCCCAGUGGCAAGAGUUGCAUCAUGACAGACAUCUAAAGCGGCGAAUGAAGUGUCUUUCUCUCCUUCAUGGCUGAUUUCAUUGCGAUUAGGAGAUCUAUUUCAGGGUGAGGCGCAGACGCAGCGGGGUUUCGACUGCUCUCAUGUGCACCUGAGCGAUCAUCAGUAAUAGUGUCUCUGCUAACAGUGACCUGAAGCCCAAACAAAUGAUCUUGAGUCUUAAAAGUGCUUGAGGCCUUUCUGAGCCGCUGCCAGUGUUUAGUGGAGGGACACAAGCUGAGCGCUCAAUAAACCAGAUCUCGUCCCAGGACACAAGACUGCGCAGAUGGGCUGCAAAGCGCCUUGAUCUUUGGCAAGGGCAAGGAGCCGGAUUGGAGCAGAGGAUCUCAUUUCCUGCAUCUGUGAGCUCAGAUUAGAUCAGAUCUGCAGACACUUUGAGACAUCAGAUGCACCGUUUACAACCAUAAAAUGGUUAAAACUCCAACAGAUGCACAUUAAAGGAGGAACCUCUACAGUCCCAUCUACAGACCAGAAGAUCACAGAGAUACGAUAAAUCACCCAGAAUGCCCUAGCAUCAUGCUGGUGAAACAGAAGUUAUAUGAGCGCUGCUGGUCACAGAAUAUUAGAUCCAGUAAGGCCGGGAUGGAAACCUCUCAGUGAGCCAAUUGUCUUGUGUGAGGAUGUUCAGCUAAGUUCAGCCUUGAAGACAGGAAGUCUCUGUUCUUCAGAUGAAAAAUUCGUCUGUAAACACACUCGAGCAUCUGUAAGACACUCCAUCCCUAUAAAACACAACAGAUCCACCACAUCUGAGCUGUUAUUGCCUGUCAUCACCCGAUGCUUUUCCUUCUGUCUUUCUGUUAUCUCUCCAUCUCUGGCUCCCGUCGGGGCACUGUUGUGUCCUCUGGGUCUGUAAUCGAUAGCUCAUUUCACACCACACAGUCAGUCCCUCUGUAUUGAUAAGCUCACCAAUUGAAUCCGUCUCCACCAGCUGUCAGUCAGACGGGAGUCUGUAGGAGCGGAGUGAGAUGACAGAUGCGCUUGAGAAGCGUGCAGGAGUGUUUCUAAAUGUCACUUUAAUGUUUUUUUUUGCUCAAAGUGUCCUUGAGUUUGUUUUCAUGGCUUUGAGCUGCAGAUGCGUCAUGUUUAGAUCAUGCCAUUCUAAGUAUUUUACACUACUGUUCUAGAGUUUUUAAUAAUUUUAUUAAUGAAGGGGAUGCAUUAAAUUGAUCAAAAGUGACAGUAAAGACAUUUAUAAUGUUACAGAAGAUUGCUUU